UAUAAAUGAAGAGGGAGACGAUGAUAAGGAUUGAAAAACACUAAGAAAGUUGGGUUGACCAGAUUUGGGGUGUGAAAGAAUGUGGAAGUUAAGGGAGAAGAAAUGUCAGUGUCAUUCCUAAAGAUAGUGCACUGGCUGGAGGGAUGGUGUGUGACACUAUCCAGAGGGACUGACAAAGUAAUAAUCAUACAGUCAAAGGAAGAAUCUACCUUCUCAUGCAUGAUAUCAAAUCAUCUUAGAGUCACUUUUGCAUACUGAGGAGCCUAAACCAGAAGUGAAAAGGUUUUAUUCCCCACCCCCCAACCCCUCAACCCAAAUGCAGUGAUGCUCUACUGCAGUGAUUUCCACUCCUGGCUGUGAUUCUUCAAUGUACAGCUUCUGGGCUCUGCCCCCAGAGAUUCUGAUUCAGUGGUCUUGUGUGUGUUCGUGGCUUCUGCAUUUAUACACAAGGUGAUAGGAGUGCACAGCUAGGACGGAAGAAUAGAAACAGGAGAUACAGAGUUCACUGUCAAUGUUCUAUCAACCCAAGCCAUGUUUUCAAAGCCUAUUCCCUAUAAAAUGCCCUAGGGUAUUCUAAGAAAGUAAGUUCUGCUAAUUUACACCUGUCUUUUUGAUUACUGUGUGGCUGAGUUAAACCACUUUUCAUUUUCUUUUUCCCCAGUCUCUGGGCCUGGAUUCCCUUGGUCCUUCUGGGUUAGAGCAUCACUGGUGGGGAGGAUAGCAGAUUGACCAUUCAUCAAUUUCUUUAGGACUGGCACAGAAGCUAGGGGCAUCUCUUUUGGCCAUCUCCAUACCCGAGAGCAAGUGAACACCCAUAAUUAUACUUUUAUUAAAGCUCUUAAAAAUUUCUGUUCUGUUCACAAAAUAGGUAUUAUUGUGCCUAUUUUAUGGAUGAGAAAACUGAGCCUGAGAGAGUUCAGUAGCUGUCCCAAGGUAAUCCAACAAUGAAAUGGGAGGCCAUAUUUACAUCUGAGCUUCCUUCCUUCCUCCCGUCUCCUUCAUUUCCCUUCACUUCCCUUCCCUUGCUUCUCUUCCUUUCCUCUUCUUGCCACACCAUCCGUCUGCUUCUUGCACCAUAUUAGAAGAUUUCUGAAGAGAGGGCUCAUAUAUUCAGUUAUAUUUUUCUUUCAUACCUACACCAUACUUUGCACAUAGUAGAUAUUUAUCAAAUGUAUAGUAAAUAAGGAAAUAACUCCUUUUCUUUUCUUAAUGAUCACAUUGAAUAUUUACUAACUAAAGUGAAAAUCCCAAGAGCACAAGGAUGUUCUCGUAUCCUUCUUGGUUUUACCAGUGUGUGUACUUGAAAAAUUGUACAAUUAAUAUCAAAUGUUCAGAAAUACUUGUGAGAUGAGAAUAAAAAGAAUAUCUGGCACAAAAAACCAGACAUCAGGUCCUAUUCCCCCAUUAAAGCCUUACUCCAAUGAGCUAUUGGCUUAAUGCAAACACGAAGUGGGGUCUGGGAUCCAUGCCUGCCUGAGUGCUGGCAAUUGCCAAGACUCUCAUGGUUUCCUUUUGUGCGCUGAAGCUAUCAGAAAUUGUAGUUAUAGAAGUCAUCCCCUGUUCAAAGGUUGUCUGCAUCACAGCCAAGUAUUGCUCUCUCCUGAAUCUAUUCUGGCUACACAAAGUCUUGCUCUGGCCUCAGAGUGCAUGCUUGGUGCCUACAAGGAAAAGGGUGGACCAUGACAGGAGACUGAAUCUUGCUCUCUGCCCAGGGCACAGCAUGGAGCUUUUGACCUGGACUUAGCUAAAGCCCAUGCCAGCCUGAGUGGCAUCAUUCUGGGUACAGACCUUGAGUUACCACUUUCAUAGCCAUACCAAUCCCAGCUCAUUGUGCAAAGGUUGCUUGUGAAAAAUAAUUCAAUAUUAAGCACAUGGGUCUAUCUCAAUUGUAGUUCUACCAAUCUUCGUAAGGCACUUCCAUCAAUAAAAUGUGACCCAACUAUGCUCUUAAAAACACUUUAGGCAUUAACACCCUUUUAGAAUGGAUCUAGCCCUUGAGAUUUUCUUAGGUGGGCUCCAUCUUUCUCAUUAGCUUUCGUUAUGUAUAAUAUAUAUGCAAAUGCCUUUGCCAUAGUCUACCAAGAAUUAUUCAGGUCCCUUAUCUUAGACCCUAAAAACUAUGAGUUAUAAAUGGACAAAGGAGUACAACAAUAUAUUGCAAAAUGAUGGAUUUCUAUUAUCAUUAGUAUUUUGAUAAAAUAGAUAAUAUUUUGUUUAUGUGUUUAUGUGUGUAUGUAUGUAUUUAUUUCUUUUUAGAGAUGAUGUCUUGCUACAUUGUCCAGGCUGGACUUCAACUUCUGGGCUCAAGCAGUUCUCCUGCCUUAGCUUCCUGAGCAGCUAGUACUACAGGCACGAGCAACCAUGCCCAGGUAAGGUAUGUAAUACUAAAUAUGUAUUUCAAGAGCAAAUAUUGAAUGUGCACUCUGAGAUUAUAUUAUUUGGGAUUGAAUCCUCAGUCUGCCAUGUAUUAGCUUAGUAUUUCUCAACCUCAGCAGGACUGACAUUUUGGGCCACUUAGUUCUAUGUUGAAGGGGAGAGGGGCCUGCCUUACACACAGUAGGAUAUAUGGUAGGAUCUUGGGUUUCUACCUUCUAAAUGAGAAUAGCACCUGCCCAGUUACAACAAUUCACAAUGCCUUCAGACAUUACUAAAUAACUCCUGGCUUGGAGUGGGGUGGGGGUAGCGGGUGAAAAGGGUACGAUUGCCCAGAUUAGAGAGCCACUGCAUGAGGUGAUGACCUUGGGAAGGUUUAGAUCCUUCUGGGAUGCUAUUCUUUUUACCUGUAAAUUGUGUAUAAUAAAACCCAACUUACACUAUUGGAUGUAAGCACAGAAAUUCAUUAGCAUACACUUGGUAUAGGAAAAAGCACAAAAAAUAUUACUUAUUUAUCAGACAUUUACUAUUGUUUUAUGAAAGAUACAUACUGUAGCUAGGUAAUACAGGUCUAUGUGUGUAUGUAUCUGAAACUGAAAUAAAGACCUUAAGUGGUUUUUCCUAAAUUUAUGUAGGAAGUUUGAAUCACAGUCAGAUUUAGAACAAUCAGAUCUAGAUUUUCAGCAGGAAACAAAGCCAUAAAGUGGAUGUGACUUUCACGGCAAAAAGUUUCUUUUGCCUCUGAAAGCACCUCCCAGAAAGGACCCAGUGGGAGUGAAAGGAUGAUGUUGACCAUAACCCUGUUGCUUUGAUUUGGGGAAAACUCAUAAAACAUGAAUUUCCUGGUUUUGGUAGUCCCUCAGUACCCAAUAAUUUAGAAACUGUUCCUUUUUCCCCAAAGAGUAAGUGGUGCACUCAUAUUAAAAAAAAAAAAAAAAAAAGAAGAAGAAGAAAAAAGAAAAGAAGAAAAAAAUAAUUCAAAUCUCAGAGGCAAAUUAAGUUCAGUGGUGAAACCUUAGAAGACAUAGUAUUGUUUUUCUUAAGACCAUGCAGUGAGAAAAUAAUUAGUUCCUGUUUAAGAAUCAAUUACUAUUAAUACAUUAGCCUUACCCUUGAUUGAUUAUAAUAGUAUUACAUUUAUUUUUAUUGUUAUUAAUGCCAUCAUAAAGCUCAUGCUGGGGAAACAGAAAAAUAAUUUCCAGAGGGUUAUUCUUUAGUCUUAUAGGGAGAAUAAUUUACUUAGGUGAUCUGGAUUAUUGCUAGUGUGUCAUCAGGCUCUGUCUGUGAGACAUAAAGUAGGGUAAACCUGAAAAUGAAGUUUUACCUCCGGCUUGUAGCUAGACAAAACCAGAGAAUCCAGAAAUCUGCAAGAAACAGAUGCUGGUUGAAUAACAGACACUGGGAGGGCAGAACAGGUAACCUUGAUUGAAGUUACAGCCAGGCAUGCUUCAUUUCAAUUAAAAGGUUUCAAUAAUUUCCAUUGUUCAACAAUGGUAGUAGGGUAGCCAACACCCUGCUUGUUUACUCAGGACUCAGGGCAUCCCUAGGAUGUGGGAUUUUCAGCCUUAAAACCAGAAAAGUUCUGGGGAAGUCAGGCCACACUGGCUACCAUAACAACAGAUUGAGAAAGCUUUUAAAGUAGUGAGUGCUCCCUCACUAGAGGUGUUCAAGCAGAGGCUGACUGAUCAGUUCUCAGGGAUGUGUCAGAGCAGUCUUUGUUUCAAUGAAAGAGAGUGAGCUCAACAACUUCUGCAGGAGCCAUCCAAGUCUGAGACACUGAGAGCGUCUACAAAGAAAAGUGAUCUGUGCUAGAUCCAGCCUUAUUGCUAAAUCCUCUGGAUUUAUAAAUCCUUUCAUAUUUAGAACUCAAGCGAAUUGAGUUUUCCAAGAAGCGCCUUAAUCCCUCAGAGAAAUUUCCGCAAAAAAUCAUCAAUCACGAAAAUAUUUUAUACAGAGGCAGACAUUCAGAAUAUUACAAUGAUAAAAGCAAAGGAUUUGGAAUCAAAAGACUCAUGCUUUAAUUCUAAGUCUAGCACUCACUAGAUUUGGACAAUUUGUUUAAUCUCCCUGAUCAUUGAACUUCUCACCUCUGAAAUGAAGAUAAUAAUGUUUACCCUGCCUGUCUCUUGGGGCUGUUGGAAGGACCAUACAAGCUAGUGUAUGUCAAAGCAUUGUGAACUGCAAAGCACACUCAUGUUAAUUGCAGAUUUUUUUUGACAUGAUUCUGCCUAUCAUUCUAAGGUGUUGACAAAGCUUGUAUUGUGCUCAUAAGCCAAAUAGGUGUGUACAAGUUGUAUUACGUAAAAUAGGCUAAACUAUGGCACCAAAAUAAUGACAAAAUAUAAAACAGAUCAAUCCCAGUGCAGGUAUUUCUGGUUGGCAUUGAUUGUUUAUUGCAGUAAUUCAUAGGCUCAAAGAUUGUCUAUGAAUUACUGUGUCUUUGAAACUUUCUAGUUUUUGGCUCUGACAUUCCCUACAGUUUCACUGCUCUCAUCACUGCUGGUAGGACAGUGAAAAGAAAAUAUGGAAAUGGAAUAUUUCUCAAAAGCUGUAUGCAGAAAUGAUACCUAUAAGUUCACUGACAUCCGUUGGCUAGAAUUCAGCCACCUUGCUAAACCAUACAAGGGAAGAAUCUGUCCUAAUAUGUGUUCGGAACUGUUGGAAGGACCACGGGAAGUAGGACACAUCAAAAUAUUUUGAGCUGUAAUGUUCAUGCACAUAAGCUUUAGGUUCAUUCAUUGUGACUCUUCCUACUAUCCUGGGAAGCUGAAUAUAGCUUUUAAUUUUAAUGAACAGUCAUCAGUUUCUGCUUUAAAAUUUCCAUGGCUGUACCACAUUUGCAGCUAUUGCUUAACAAGUUCUCAUGUUUAGAUUUAGUUCCUGGUACCAAUGUAGGCCCAUACACAAACAUGCUAUAAGCAACUGGGAAAUGCCUAGAUGAGACUGAGAAUAAAUAUUAAUUUCUAGAUCUCUGGUGUCUUUCAAUUAAUUAGUUCUGCAUUUACAGAGUACCUACCAUGUGUCAGGCAUGUUGCUGGUAUUGGAUACUCCAAAAUGGGCAAACCAUGGUACCUGUUCUCAAGAAGCUCACGGGCAUUGUUUCAUUUACUUUGCUUUCCCCAGGGAAAAAUUUUUCUUUCUCCCAUAUUGCCCACUAUGCAUAAAUAUUUAAACUUUUCACUCAAACUUGGGGAAGAAGGGUUUAACUUCAUCUUACAAAACCAGCCCAUGUUUCUCUUCCAUCAUAUUUCUUAGUCCUUCUCUACCCAAUGAAUAUCUGUUGCUUUAAGAAAAAAAGUUUCAGCCAGGCGCAGUGGCUCACGCCUGUAAUCCCAGCACUUUGGGAGGCCGAGGCGGGUGGAUCACGACGUCAGGAGAUUGAGAACAUCCUGGCUAACAUGGUGAAACCCCGUCUCUACUAAAAACACAAAAAAUUAGCCGGGCGUGGUGGCGGGCGCCUAUAGUACCAGCUACUCAGGAGGCUGAGACAGGAGAAUGGCGUGAACUUGGUAGGCGGAGCUUGCAGUGAACGGAGAUGGCACCACUGCACUGCAGCCUGGGCGACAGAGCGAGACUCCGUCUUAAAAAAAAAAAAAGUUUCAGUUCAGUGACAGGUACAAAGCAAUAUCUACAAGAAAUGCUCAGGAGAUAGCAAUUGUGAGUUAGGGUGUAAGGCUUCUUUCCACCUUCCAGUAUCAACUGGGAUGCUUAGCUCACCGCUAAAGAAACCUAUUUUCUCAACUUACCCAGGAAGUAAGCAAAAACUGAUAUUUUCUCUAAAGAGGAGCCCAAAGUAGGGCUUGGACAAUUCACUGGUGCAACGUUGACAUCAAGGAAGAAAGAUGUUUGUGUCAACAUUGUCACCCCGUAUGUUCCUUUUGAGUCACAGAUGACUUCUUUAAUUCUAGGUGGCUAGACAGAAUACCUAAGAGAAGAAGAAAGGCCAUCUCAUCACAGCUGUGCCAUUAUCGGAGCAGGAAAAUUCUCUACAGAAGCCCCCUUUCACAUUUCUUCUUUGGCCAUGAUGGCGUCAUAUUCCUAAUCAAUAUUGCAAGGGGGAUGGAAUUCCUAUGACUGAUCUAGUUAAAUACAAGGCUGGGUGUAGGAGAGUAUAUUUUCCAAACAAAAUAUUUCUCCUAACAAGAAAAAAUGAUGGUAUUUACCUUUGGUUUAGAAAAUAGCACUGUUGGUUAUACCAUCAAUACCCAGUUUCGUCCUUGAGGGUCUCUUUACCUACUCUGGCUUUAUUUUCUACUGCUUUCCUGUAUUAUGGUUUGGCGAUUCUCUCAUUUCUCUUUUUCACACUAUUUACCUUCUAUCUCCUUGCUAUACUUCCUGCCUUGACCUCUUUAGACUUGGCUGUCUCACUUUACUGGUACAUAAAAGCAAGCCACAGAAAGUGUUCAGAGACUGCACAUCACAUACUCUGCUGAGACAGAUAGGAUUGUGGCAUUUGCGAAGAAUACUGAGUCACAUGGAUGUGAAAGGUGAUAGAACAUUGCCUUCAAUAAAACAAGCUCUGAGUUCUGCGGGUAAAAUUCCUCAUUCAGGAGCUUUAACAUUUCCCUUUUGACAUACUCCACCACAGAAUACUCAUAAAUGAAAUCUUAAUUCUACAGUUGAGAAUUGGUGUUUUUCCUGGGAGUUCCACAGCAUUGCAGCAAGGGCCUCCAAAGGAAUAGGUGGAUUUGAGCAGGAGGCCUGGAGCAUUCCCCACAUAUUCAAUCCUGUCUCAUGUUUUACCCAGAAUAUCUCUGCUUUAUCUGUCUCAUAUAUAUAUAUAUGUCUAAUUAUAUGUAUAUAAUUAGACUACCACAUAGUACUUCUUUUGAACAAAAAACGACUCUUAAAGACAACCAUUUAGGAGUUCCUCAUUCUUUUUGGCCUAAACCUGUUUGUACUAUAUCUUAUUUUCUCACUCGCAAACUCUUGUCUCCAUAGGCUAUCUUUGAUCUUACCUUCAGACAGACUCUUAAAAAUUUAAUACAUGUUCUGAUUCUGCCUCUUGGCUCUUCACAUAGGAUUUCUCUUAGUAGGCAAUCGUCCUCCUCUCCCUACCAUCUCCCAAAGGCCAAAUGUCUUCCGUUAUCUAUAAUAAGAACCUACAGAGGCCGGGCAUCGUGGCUUAUACUUGUAAUCCCAGCAGUUCGGGAGGCCAGGGUGGGUGGAUCACUUGAGGUCAGGAGUUCGAGACCAGCCUGGCCAACAUGGCAAAACCCUGUCUCUACUAAAAAUACAAAAAAAUUAGCCAGGUGUGGUGGUGCACACCUGUGAUCCCACCUACUUGGGAGGCUGAGGCAUGAGAAUUGCUUAAACCUGGGAGGCAGAGGUUGUAGUGAGCUGAGAUCGUGCCACUGCACUCCAGCCUGGGCGACAGAGUGAGACUCUGCCUCAAAAAAAAAAAAAAAAAAAAAAAGAACCUAAAGCUUUGAUUUUCAGCUCAGCUCUUUUUUUCCACACCUUAGCUAGUUCCUGGUGACAACUGUUCCACUGUCCUCUGUAGCAUGGAGGAAGGAUUUGAACACUGACAGAAUUUUUCUAGACUGAUUCUUGAAGCUCCCUUGAAAACAAUUCUGAGGGUCCCUUAAAUCUUUGUUAACAGCUCACAGCAAUUCUUCCUUCCAUCUCAGUUGUGAUUCUCCCUCUGCCUCAAGCUGUCUUUUACUGGGAGAAUUUUUACUUUAAAAAACCUAUACUUAUAUUUCAAAGGCCAAAUACAGUUUUUUUACUGACUGAAAUCUCUACUAUGUCUACUUUUGGCUCUUUAAAUAUGGUAAAUAUCUUGCUUCCAGAAUCUGUGGAAUUUUUGUCUCUUGAGACAUGUGAAAUUGAACUGGACUUGGUCUUCAAAAAGAUGAUUGUUGUGUUGGUAAGAGGAUGGAAGGGAUGACCUGGAAGGUCUACUCCAGCUCUGAUUCUGAUGAUGUGAUUCUAACCAGAUGGGGCCAAUGGCAUAUUAGACGUCUAUUGAUGCUACCUCUGUGCUUUUCAUCCUGGGUUUAUUCUUCUGGUAACUGUAUAUUUUUCUUGGCCAGCCUCUCCAUUUGUGAUGCACAGCAUGUGCGUCACAAAAGCUCUUUAUGUCCCACAUGGAGGAGGCUGCAAGGAUCUUGUGAAGGAACUGAGCAAAUCAGAUGUCUGCAUCUACAUUUUCGUUUUCUUAUGGAAACCCUGCGAUCCUUCACAGAUUGCGGCUUUUAGUGUAUAUUAUUUAUUUGAAUAUGGCCAAAGACAUGACUUCUUAAUGUUAUGGUGUCAUGUCUGUGUCUGAAUAAAAAUAAUAAACCAUAACACAAUAUCACACCAUGUAUGAUUUUUCCUUAAUAAGAGCACAAGGUAGUUAUUAAACAGUAAUUUAAAGACAGUUGGACAGUCAUUAGAUAAAUAUAACUUGUUUGGAGACCAGAUCUUUUAUGACUUAAGCAAUUAUAUUUUAGGCAUUACAUAUUCUUGGAAAAAUGUGUACUUCUAUAUAGUUUUUUUUUUAAUUCAUCUGCUCAUGCUACAUGGGGAAAAAAGUGAAAAAGAAGAUGAAAUCUAUUGGUGAUAUUAGCUGAGGGAUUUUUUGUAGCAUAUUGUGUAGGUCAUAACUACAUAUCAUUGUGUUUCAUCAUGGACCCAGCCAUAAACAGAAAAUGAAGGCUGGCUCUAGAGGUGAAAGCAUUUGUGCUUAGAGAGAACUGUGCCAGUUAUUAUGGGACAUUGCUUACGGUAAGAAAAAUCUUAUCUCUCCUAUUUAUUUUCCACGUUGAAAAGCAACCCAUGGCACUCACUUGUCUGGCCAUCUUCUUGUGCUAGAACUUCCUGCCUCACCAUUUAAUAUAGGAUAAAAUUAAAAUUUCUUACACGAACACAUCAUGUUUUCCUUCAUUUUACCUCAAUUUUUUUUUCUAGUCUCAUUAUAUCUUGAUAUUUCUCCCUAAAUAGUAAGCUAAGAAACCUAAAACUGUUUGCCAUUCCAAAACACUUUCUAGCACUGGUCUACCUUUUUUUUUUUUUCUUUGGUUUCUUACCCCAGUCAUCUGCUUUUAGGCAACUCCUAUUCAUUCUUUGAAACAUAACCUAAAUGCCCUUCUGUUUCAUUCAAAGCAUUCAUCAGACAUCUUGUAUGUGCUGGAUGCUAGGGGUGUCCUUGCCCUCAUAGAGCUAGUUUAAUCAGGUAGAAAAUACAGGAGACGUAAUAAGCAACUGCAGCACAGCAUGCACUUUAUGAUGAGUUAUCUAUGCUGCUCUGAGAUGGCAUGAAUGUAACAUGGUUUUAUAAAAUUCUUUCUUGAUUUAGUUUUGAAGUCCCCGCUGGAGGCUGGUCAGUUUCUUUUCUUGAACAGCUAAUUAACUCCAUACCCCCAACCACUUCCUUAUCAGGCUUUCACAUGCCUGAACACUAUCCACCAGCCUAAUCGCCCCAGGGCCAGGUACCAGACAAUCAGGGAUGACCCCAUGCCUCAGAGCCUACUGAAGGUAUUCAGACUCGCUAAUUCUGAGCCCGUGUACUCUGUAUUCCCUGUUUCUUCCCAUGGAAACCACCAUAAAGAUACUUGCCCAUGAUUUUCCUUUCUCCCUCUGCUUUGACCCUGAGUGGCAUGUAGUACUCUUACCCAAAUCCUGUAAUGUACACAGGAAGAGUAGUCAAGAGAUCACAACCUUCUUUUUAAACUUAUCAUCACUGGCCUGAAUCCUUGAUUCAUUUUUCUUGUGUUGUCUGCCAUAUUACAAACUCCUUUGGGCAGAGACUUUAUUAUUUAUCUUUAUGCUCUGGGACCUCACAGAGCCUGGCAUACAGUACAUGUUCAAUAAAUAUCAAAUAGUAAUAAGGUAAUAGAAUAAGCGAAUAAAUGAAUACCACGAAAUGGCACUAUUUUUUUGGUCUUGUCUUUUUGAGAGUUGCCUUUUAUCCAAUUCUGCACCAUGUUGAUUGUCUCAAAUACAUGAAAUUUAAUAUAAUACACUCUUUUUUUCAAGUUUAAAUCAUUUCCACAAGACCAGUAAUUACUUUGUAAGAAUAAUGCCCAAAUAUUCUGACCUUUCCUCUCUAUUCUGAAAGUGAAAAUUAUCAGUGAAUGAAUUAAGAAUUCAUUGCAUGCUUUUCUCUUAAAUGAAUGAGAUUUCUAGCAGAUGUUUGAACUGUUAACAGUUUUUGCCACGACCCUAUCAAACCUGACUGCAAGAAGCCUCUGAGAAAUUUCUCACCCAUUUCUUUUCUCUGGCUGGGGGUUGCAGUAUGCUCUCACAGUUUUUCACUUCACUGUGGCUUGUAUCUUUCCAACAUAAUUUUAUGUCCAACAAUGACAUGAACUUCCUUGGAAGUACUGAUGUCUAUUGCUGGAUGUCUGAAGCAGCAGUGGUUCACUUCUAUCAGGAUAACUUUCAUCAGCAGGCAGAUUAAAAUAACACUUUUAAAAUGUUUUUUUUUUUCUAUAUAUAAAACUUAAGCAAUUCUCCACACUUUGAGGGAGGAUGAACUGUUCUCAAAAUGCUGUUAGUCAGAAGCUGAAUAAGACCCCAUACUGGCAUCAGGAAAAUAUUUAAAUGAUUCCCUUCUAGUUAUUUUAGCAAUAAUGGAAUUCAGCUCAGGAAGUUUAUGUUAAAUGUAAUCUCACUGGAGUUUUCAGUGAGCUUUUCACCUUGCCUGAUGGAUGAUAAAGAGUCAAGGCCUCUUUCAGCGGAACUGUACUCUUUUUUUAUUACCCUCUCUCCUAUUCUGACUAAAGAGCACAUUUGAUAUAAAUGGAGAGUUUCAUUUAAACAGAUCACAAUCCAAUUUGAAUUCUUCUUAUCAGAUUGGACUACUCAAAAAUGGUGCAGCAAGAGAUUCAAACCUUGCUUGCUCACAAGGUUAAUAUUUACAAAUAUUGACUUCUGUUGAGCCCUUUGGAACUUAAAAAAUAGUCUCUUGAUUUCUCAGUGAUAACACAGGAGGGAUUUUUGUUUUGUUUUUUUAGUUGGGCAGUGCACAAUUUUAUAUUUUUACUCUGAAAGCUGGUUUGCAAGGAGGUGCAUAAAUAUUAUUUAUCAAAUUACUAGCAUUUUUUGCAAUGCAACUUAUGUUUUUAUAAUGACACCAGAUUAAGAAGAGUGAAAGAAUUGAGCUGCAAAUCUAAGCUUUGCACUCCCAAUCUUAUGUUGGAAUAAUAAAUUCAGUUCAGCCAUAACUUACUGAAUAUGUCUAAUAUUUCUGAAAAUGUCUGAGAUAUUACUGGAUAGGUCAUAGAAGAAAUAUGGAGAAAUGGAAACUAGAAUGAUCUGUGUGAUUCUAGUGCUGCAACUCCUGAAACCUGAAGUCUGUGACUCACCAGUUCUAAGCCCCAGAGUCCUGAUGGGGCACCUCAAGGAGACACUUCAGCCACCUAAGUCAGCUGGACCACCCCAUGACACAGUCAUGGAGGUUCCAGUCUGAAUUCAGAGUCAAUGAUAAGGGAGGCUUCCGUGGCAGAGUGAAAAGCACACACCUGAGAAAUGAAAAGAAAUGGCAAAGGUCACACGUCUCAGGAUGAAUUGCACUGUGUGUGACACCCUAGCUGAAAUCCUAUCCCACAGGACCAUCAGGUCCACGAGAGAAGAGGUGUGCUCAGGAGGGCUGACUGGAAGUCUGAAGACAGCAUGGCAUACAACCAAUGGGUGGAGAGCAGGAGCCAGAGAUGACAUAUGGGAUGAGGCCUUCAUUAAAGUCCAUGGGUAUUAUCCAUCAGGCUUUCCUGUAGGGAUUGUGGAUUGGUCAAUUUAAAGAAAACACUUGUGAACAGGAGUACUUAUCUACAUGAUUCUGACAUUGAUCAUUGAGUUUUAUCAUGGACAGUAGCUGUGGGAUUUUAGGCUAGUGAGAUAGGAAUAAGCAGGCCAUAUUGCAAACAACAACAGGGGCAAGAAAAGUUUUAACUAGUCCAAAGGUGAAGGAAUAUAAACAGGUUUCCAACAGUGGAUACCAGGCCUAAAAAUGGAUGCCAAGGCAACAACUAUAUUAAACAACUUUAUGACACAUACAUUUGUCAUAUAAAUAGUCAGUCCUCUUGUAUGUAGAGAAAAAGAAUAAUGAUUAAUAUGUAACAUGUUCAGAUUUUUGCCUAAUGGAUCUGCUUUUAAGUGAAGAGGUUACAUAUUCUAAUCUGCUCUAUAAGCCACAGUCUCUGUACUUGCUAACUAUUAUUUCACCUUUAUAAUGGCCCUCUGAGGUCAGUUGUAUCGUUUUUUUUUAACAGUUAAGAAAAUGGAAACUGAGGCUGCAAGAUGUAAAGUGAUUCCAAAGAUUAGUGAAAUGCACAACUUUUCCACUAUAUGAGGCUGGCCUAAAGAAUUCCUCAAAAGAUGUGGAGUAGGAGUAGCUUUGCAUUUAUUAUGAAGUCCCACAGGCACAAAGUGCCCUCUAAAGGCAUGAUUUUUUUUUCCUGACAAUUUUUAUUGGGUCAGGACAUAAUAACAUGACAUUUUUAUGGGACUUUCAUCUCAGAAUCCCAAAGCAAUCCCAAAGCACUUAGAACACAUUAUUUAGCUCUCACAACUUAAAAGGUAGGUAGCAAAUUAUUUUGAUAGGAAAUUAACUAUAAUAAGGCUGGCAACAACAGCAUAACAAGUGCUAGUGAAUUGCCUUAAAGGAAUGCAAAGGAUUCAUAUACAUUUCCUAGGUUAGAGGAGAGGCUACUUAUUAAAGGAAAGUGGAGUGGGAACAAGAUUUGAGAAGAUUUAGGAUCUCUUUCCAUGGGUGGAUGUCUUAGAGGUAGCAAUGUUUCUUGUGCUGUGAUUAGUGAGGUUGACUAUUAACUCUCAACAAACAUAUGGUCAUGUCUUCAAAAAUAAUUUUUUUGAAAAUAUAGCUAAAGAGUAGAGUUAUGGACAUCAUUCAGUUCAACAUUUAUUUUACACCACUAUAUAAAGCUUGUGGGAUGGAUAAGAUUUGGCUAUUUUUUAAAACAUUAUUUCUUGUCUACUCCUAUGCAUGGCAUCUGAGUAGAAAAUGCUGAAAUGAGUUUUUCCUAUGCCAAUAUUCCAAGAUAUCUCUUUUCUACUGUAAUGAUAGCAAUAUUUAUUGAAAGGCACAUUUGUCUUUUCACUUCCCUCUUUACUGAAGCCUUGAGAAUAAUUCCCAAAUAGAAUCAUAGCGUUCCAUUAAUCUGAGAAACUCUUAUGAUUACUCUAUUAUAAAGUAGUAACUGGGUUAUCCCCUGAAUAAUUAAGAAUCAUUAACUUAGUCCAGGUCAUUAAAGAUGAUCUGAUGUGGAAGACAGGUGAAUUUACUCAAGUAAAACAGAAACACACAGAGAUAAGUGGCUACCAAAGUUCCCACAGCUAAAUGCUGGUGGAGAUGGGAUUCACCCUUUGAUCUCUGACUCAAAUCUGGUGCUCUUUCUCAUUCAUCCCACUGAUAAAGAAAAAUGGUUUUGAUUUUACUUUCUUUUUGCCAAGGGCUUAUGCAAUUAACUUAUUGUGUACAAUUGAUAGGGACAGGGGGCAGAGAAAUUCUAGGCAGAAAAAGGCAGGUCCCCAGCAAAACCCCACGCUGAAGCUGGAAAGCCUGAAACCAUGGCCCAAAGUGAGAACCUAUGUCUCUGUUUUCCUAUUUGAAUGUUGUCUUUUCCUAAUCCACCCAUGGCUCUCCUCCACCUUAUCCUGUGCCUAUAAAAACCCCAGACUCAGCCAGCAGAUGAGACUAUGGCUGGACAUCAGAGAGAAGCAGCUUGACUUCAGAGGGACAGCUAGACCAUAUAACUUUGGAGAACAAUCUGGCUGGAUAUGGCUGGACUUCAGGGAAAGAUUACCUAUCCACCCCAUGCAUUUUUGAGCUCCCCUUCCCACUGACAGCCACUUUCAUUGGCAAUAAAAUCCCCCUCAUUUACCAUC
This is a long non-coding RNA of Homo sapiens (human), 14205 nucleotides long. RefSeq lists it as uncharacterized. NCBI's taxonomy places the organism in Eukaryota, Metazoa, Chordata, Mammalia, Primates, Hominidae. The transcript is spliced from 3 exons. The record is from RefSeq and is a predicted model, not a curated record.